This is a long non-coding RNA of Alligator sinensis (Chinese alligator), 335 nucleotides long. RefSeq lists it as uncharacterized. Lineage: Eukaryota; Metazoa; Chordata; Crocodylia; Alligatoridae. The record is from RefSeq and is a predicted model, not a curated record. The transcript has 3 exons.
CUCACCGAAGGAACUACAAAUACCACCAACCAACAGGAACCUUCAUUGACCAAACCAUCCAGCUGUUGUGGAAAACCAAUCAGACCCAUGCACCACCCACCAAGGUAAACCAUCCCUUACUGACUGGAUGUCAGGUAGGAGUGGAGAGAACAGCACAUGAGGAGGACUGAUGGUAAUGCUAAGAGGGACAAGUGAAUGAAGAAAGUGUGAAUAAUGAAAAAUGAAGUUUUGUCAUCAUGAAGAAUGAAGAAGAAAUGGAGAACUAGGAGAGAGGGCUGAAGUAUAUGGACAUCAGUGAAAAAAAGUCAUGCAAAAUUCAUGGGAAAAAUAUAGAA